RNAcentral lists this ribosomal RNA (440 nucleotides) under uncultured bacterium. Its description in RNAcentral is "partial 16S ribosomal RNA". It matches the Rfam family "Bacterial small subunit ribosomal RNA", at positions 338 to 795 of the family's 1533-position model. The record is from RNAcentral.
CCUACGGGUGGCAGCAGUGGGGAAUAUUGCACAAUGGGGGAAACCCUGAUGCAGCGACGCCGCGUGAGUGAAGAAGUAAUUCGUUAUGUAAAGCUCUAUCAGCAGGGCAGAAAAUGACGGUACCUGAGUAAGAAGCCCCGGCUAACUACGUGCCAGCAGCCGCGGUAAUACGUGGGGGGCAAGCGUUAUCCGGAUUUACUGGGUGUAAAGGGGGCGUAGACGGGAGUGCAAGUCUGGAGUUAAAGGCGGGGGCUGAACCCCCGAACUGCUCUGGAAACUGUACGGCUGGAGUGCAGGAGAGGUAAGCGGAAGUGCUGGUGUAGCGGUGAAAUGCGUAGAUAUUAGGAGGAACACCAGUGGCGAAGGCGGCUUACUGGACUGUAACUGACGCUGAGGCUCGAAAGCGUGGGGAUCAAACAGGAUUAGAUACCCCGGUAGUC